RNAcentral lists this ribosomal RNA (397 nucleotides) under uncultured bacterium. RNAcentral describes it as "partial 16S ribosomal RNA". It matches the Rfam family "Bacterial small subunit ribosomal RNA", at positions 523 to 918 of the family's 1533-position model. The record is from RNAcentral.
AUACGUAGGUGACAAGCGUUAUCCGGAUUUACUGGGCGUAAAGGGCGUGUAGGCGGUCUUGCAAGUCAGAAGUGAAAUUCCUGAGCUCAACUCGGGCACUGCUUCUGAAACUGCAGGACUUGAGUGCUGGAGGGGAUAGCGGAAUUCCUAGUGGAGCGGUAAAAUGCGCAGAUAUUAGGAAGAACACCGGUGGCGAAGGCGGCUAUCUGGACUGUAACUGACGCUGAGGCGCGAAAGUGUGGGGAGCAAACAGGAUUAGAUACCCUGGUAGUCCACACUGUAAACGAUGAAUGCUAGGUGUAGGGGGUAUCGACCCCUUCUGUGCCGCAGUCAACACAAUAAGCAUUCCGCCUGGGGAGUACGGCCGCAAGGUUGAAACUCAAAGGAAUUGACGGGG